RNAcentral lists this ribosomal RNA (467 nucleotides) under uncultured bacterium. RNAcentral's name for it is "bacterial SSU rRNA". It matches the Rfam family "Bacterial small subunit ribosomal RNA", at positions 25 to 507 of the family's 1533-position model. The record is from RNAcentral.
CAGGACGAACGCUGGCGGCGUGCCUAACACAUGCAAGUCGAACGGAGUUGUUCCUUCGGGGACAACUUAGUGGCGAACGGGUGAGUAACGCGUGAGGAACCUGCCUUUCAGUGGGGGACAACAGUUGGAAACGACUGCUAAUACCGCAUAACAUGUACGGAUCGCAUGGUCUGUACAUCAAAGCUUUAUGUGCUGAAAGAUGGCCUCGCGUCUGAUUAGCUAGUUGGUGAGGUAACGGCUCACCAAGGCGACGAUCAGUAGCCGGUCUGAGAGGAUGAACGGCCACAUUGGGACUGAGAUACGGCCCAGACUCCUACGGGAGGCAGCAGUGGGGAAUAUUGGGCAAUGGGGGAAACCCUGACCCAGCAACGCCGCGUGAAGGAAGAAGGCCUUCGGGUUGUAAACUUCUUUUACCAGGGACGAAGAACGUGACGGUACCUGGAGAAAAAGCAACGGCUAACUACGUG